UACAAGAGUGUGGGUACAGACACAAAUAUGAUCUGCAGGACCCAGAAGCGCACAUGAGAGAUUGGGAAAGACUUGUCAUAGCAGACAUUUUCACAACCAGGCUGACUCAACCGCUGUCCCCAGCAGCAGGAUUCGGAAAAUGAAAAGUACUGACAGCCACACCUUCCCUCCAGCAGUUGAGUAGGCUUGAACCUUGUCAAGGAGUUUGCCUAAGGC
This 216-nucleotide long non-coding RNA is filed under the name Homo sapiens (human). Its description in RNAcentral is "HSALNT0112487". Lineage: Eukaryota; Metazoa; Chordata; Mammalia; Primates; Hominidae. The record is from RNAcentral.